UUUCUGCUCUCGCAGGGUCGGGAGGAGGUCGCCGGUGACGUGGGAGAAGGGGAGGGCGGCGGCAGCGGCGGACUCUGGUGUCUACGCCACCGAGCGCCACCGUCGCUCUUCUCCUCUGCCGGCCACCGGCUCUGUAGCAUGAUGAAGGGGAAGGGCAUCCUCAAGCCGAGGCGCCUAGGAUGCGGCAGCAAGGACGGCGACAAGGGUUGUGCAGCGGCCUCCUAGGAUUCGGUGGAGAUAGCGUGGCGGCGGUGGACCAACGGAGGCCGCGCCACAGGCAGAGCGGGGUGGAGGCGGUCCAGGUGGCCAGCUGCGUGUUCCCGCCUUCCCUCCGCAGCGCUGGCUUCACGCACUGCAGGAGGAGCGCCACGUCCAAGUUGCCCUCGCCUGCAAUUCCCCCGGCCCCCGCAGAGACUAGGAGGCAGCAAAUCAUGAGACGCAUCAUCGAUCUCAUCUGCUUGCUUGAAUUGCGUUGGGGCAGAGCAUGUGAACACACUGGACUGGAGCAGUGGAGUGAAAGAGUGUGCAAGUGAAUCGAGUGAGAACCACUCUUAAUACUCAAGGGAGGGAAGUGAUGACUGAUUGACUGCUCCCUCUACUGCUGCUCGUUCGUUCCGCCGACGAUGGAUCUGCAGCGCCUCGAUCCAGGGCAGCCGCCCCGGCUGCUUCGACCUUACGAGCAACUUUUUGGAGCGCCGCGUCGUUGGCCAUCACCCACAUCUGUCUCUCUCUGGAAUGGCGCUCUCCACGUCGUCGGUGAGGGCGGCGACGCGCCGACGACACACCGCUCGGUGCCCGCGGGCCUCCUCCGCUCCCAACCUCAUCUACUCCCGCGUAGUGGCCGAGAUCCAAGAGCGGCACCGGCGCGCCUCCGCCUCCAGAUGGUCGACGUCGACCGCCGCCCGCCGUCUCUGUUGCCUCUGCAUACACGGCUGCCCCCACCACCCCGCACAUCCUUGCUCACCUCACCACCGUCGGGGUCCACGACAGUGAGCUCAGGGACCGCUUCCACGUCGGCGUCGGCGUCCAACGGCCGCGGCGAUGACAGCGGCAGGCGACCCUCGGCCGGCCGUGUGCCACCGGUCUCCCCCUGCCGCCGCCCGUCUUCGCCCAGCGACCUCCUCCGACCCGUCGGCAGCCAGCACAGAGGAGAAAUGUGUGUGAGAGAGAGAGAGAGAGGAGGAAGUUAGAUAGAGGAGGGGAUGACAUGGCAUACUGAUAUGUGGGGCUCACGCUGACUUAGCCGCCACGUCGGAUAAAACCGGGGUUAAAAUCACCGAAUGACUUAAAUUAAACGAUUUUAUAAGUUGAGGGACACUGGAUAUCUGGUUUUACCGUUGGGGGAUGAUUUUGUAACUCGAUGACAAGUUGAGGGACCUUGGGUGUACCUUUUCCUAUCGUGGGUCCCCGUCGCAAACAUCGUAAGACAGGUGCAUCCGCAUCGAUCUGGACCACGCAGUUUACAUCCGACGGCUCAAGCGAAUCCCAUGAUAGGAUUAGGGAAAAAGUACACCGAAGGUCCCUCAACUUGUCAUCGAGUUAUAAAAUCGUCCCCCAACCACAAAACCAGAUAUCGGACGUCCCUCAACUAAUAACCGUUCACUAUAGAUCCUCCGGUGGUUUUGACCCCGAUUUUAUCUGACGUGGCUGUUGAGUCAGCGUGGAACCCACGUGAGUCCCACAUGUCAUAAUGCCAGGUCAUCUCUCUCCCCCUCUUCUCUCCCUUCCUCAUCUCUCACUUCUCUCCAAUUUGAUGGCGACGCGGGCGACGCGGCUGCAGUGAUGGCGGCGGCGGGCGACGGGAGGAGCUGCGGGCGGAGCGGGCGGCGGCGGGCGACGGGAGGAGCUGCGGGCGGGCGGCGGGGGGAGGAGCAGCGCGCGGCGGGCGGAGUGGGCGGGCGGCGGGCGGAGCGGCUGCGGCAGAUGCACCCGCAGCACGGGCCUGCCGGAGGACCAGGCGACGGUGCGGGGAGCGGCCGGCCGGCGGAGCAGACGGGGCGCGGGCGUGCAGCAGAUGACCGGGCGUGCGGCAGACGGCGGAGGUUGGCGUCGGCGUGGGCGAAGCGAAUGACCGGGUGGGACUCGCGGGCGGCGAUGUCGACGCCGCGGAGGUGGACGCGACGCGGUCGGGGUAGGCCCAGUGGUCGAGACGGUAGAAGAAGAGCGGCAUGGGGUGGCGGGAGCAAUGGCGCUGGUGCCUGGUGGUCGCGGUGGAAGGCGUCCGUGGCGAUGAGGUCGUGCAGACGCCGCUGCAGCAGGCCACCUCGGCGGCCUGCUUGCAAUCAAAAUAACAAAGCCAUGGUGGCAGCGAUGGUCUACAUGGUGAUGUGCCUUCACUAGAUUAUGUUGUAGAAGAUACAGUAAGUCUGAAUAUAAGCAAGCAGUCUUGCAAUUAUUCCUUCAUUCAGUUACUUAUGAAAUAUAUUAUUAUCUUCAAACAAGAUGUACUUCUUGGUAAAAUUGUGCUUGAGAAUCCAGGGGUCCUCUGUUUUCUUCUUGGUCACUCCACUGGGGGAGCUGUUGUUUUGAAGGUAUGCCUUGUAACAAUAAGUAGUUUUUCUCUGCUCUAUUUAGGCGAGGUUUAGAAACUGACCCUACUCCUUUGGGCCUGUGAAUAAUGGAUAAUUGGAUAUCCUGACGGGCAGAGCAAUGGUGCAAAGCAUUAACAAAAUAGCCUGGUUGAAAACUUGAAAUGGUUUGGCUGCAGAUAUGUUCAUUUUACAUGCUUCAUAUUCUUCUUUCCCUUGUGCUUGUCAGUAGCUGGUAUUUUCCAGGCAUCAUUGUUCCCUCAUAUCAGAGCAAAACUGGAAGGCAUCAUCCUAACUUCACCAGCGCUGCAGCGGGCGACCUCGGCGGCUGGCCGUUUGCCGCCACAGCCUGGUUGCCUCCGUUCGCCGCCGCAGCCUGGUCGACUCCGUUCGCCGCCGGCUCCUGGUCGCCAUGCUCCUCAACGGCGCGAGGAUCAUCGACGGCUGCUACAUGGCGAGACGCGGCCCCGCCGCCAUCGGCAUCCCCCCGUCGAGCGGCGCGCGAUGGAGGAAGCCGUCGCCGGCGACUCUGCUCAGCGGAAAGAGGAGAAGAAGAAGGCCGCCACAGCGGCGGCAACGAGGAUGCGGGCGGAGGGCGCGACGCCGGCCGCCGGACCUCCUCCUCUCACCUCCCUCCCGGCUGCGCGCGGUGGAGAAAGCCGCCGCUGGCGACUCCGCCUAGCGGAAAGAAGCGAAGAAGAAGGACGCCGGCCGCCGGACCUCUGCCUCCCCGCCCCCGCGGGGGCCUCCUCCCCAGUCCCCACCCGUCGGCCACCCUGCCGCCUGGCCAGAUGAGCACAGCGAGAGAAAGAAGAGGCGAAAUAAGAGAGAAGUGAUGAGGUGGCAUCUGACACGUGGGUCUGCUGACUCAACCGUCACGUCACAUAAAACCAACCACCGAAGUAAACGGUUUUGUUAAGUUGAGGGAUGUGAUAUAUC
Non-coding RNA from Oryza sativa Japonica Group (Japanese rice), 3467 nucleotides. Lineage: Eukaryota; Viridiplantae; Streptophyta; Magnoliopsida; Poales; Poaceae. The record is from RefSeq and is a predicted model, not a curated record.